UCAGAUGCUUCAAGUACAAACCAGAGCUGAGGAUUUUGAAUAGACUCCAUUUAGUUUCUCUUCUGGAGGCCCAACCCACACAAUCCUAAUUUCUCUGCCUCUUAAGUUGAUGCCAUAACCAAGUACUGUGGAGACAUCAAAAGAAUGAAGACAAAGAAAACAUACAGAAUUGGAAGAAGAUCUAACUCUAGAAGUCUCCAUCAACAAUUUGGAAUGAUUUUUGCUUACCUGUGACACCCAGAAAAAAACAACGUUCACAAUUUUACACAGAAAUCAGUGACAUGCGUGGAAAGAAAAUGGAACAGAAGGUAGAAACCU
Long non-coding RNA from Homo sapiens (human), 318 nucleotides. NCBI's taxonomy places the organism in Eukaryota, Metazoa, Chordata, Mammalia, Primates, Hominidae. The record is from Ensembl.